Molecule: ribosomal RNA, 503 nt
Filed under: uncultured Cellulosimicrobium sp.
Lineage: Bacteria; Bacillati; Actinomycetota; Actinomycetes; Micrococcales; Promicromonosporaceae
Description: bacterial SSU rRNA
Rfam family: Bacterial small subunit ribosomal RNA
Source: RNAcentral
AGGGUUUGAUCCUGGCUCAGGACGAACGCUGGCGGCGUGCUUAACACAUGCAAGUCGAGCGAUGAAGCACCUUCGGGUGUGAAUUAGCGGCGAACGGGUGAGGAACACGUGAAGAAUCUGCCUUCAACUCUGGGAUAACUCCGGGAAACCGGGGCUAAUACCGGAUAUGAGCCUUGAUCGCAUGAUCGGGGCUGGAAAGUUUUUCGGUUGAAGAUGACUUCGCGGCCUAUCAGCUUGUUGGUGAGGUAAUGGCUCACCAAGGCGACGACGGGUAGCCGGCCUGAGAGGGCGACCGGCCACACUGGGACUGAGACACGGCCCAGACUCCUACGGGAGGCAGCAGUGGGGAAUAUUGGGCAAUGGAGGAAACUCUGACCCAGCGACGCCGCGUGAGGGAUGAAGGCCUUCGGGUUGUAAACCUCUUUCAGUAGGGAAGAAGCGAAAGUGACGGUACCUACAGAAGAAGCACCGGCUAACUAUGUGCCAGCCGCCGCGGUAAUACA